GUAGGUGAACCUGCGGAAGGAUCAUUAUCACGUUAUCCACGUUAUUACCAACCGUGAACUGUUCGGUCCGUAUGAGAGGCUCAUUCUUCUUGUGCGUUAGACCAAAACCCCAUUUGAAGUUUUUCAACUUCUUUUGGGUGAUUUGAACCAUUAACCAAUUGAACCAAUUUUUUAUACUUUAUGUACUUACUAUUUGUUGUUUCUUACCUUUUAACGAAGGAAGAAAUGUUAUAAAAAAUACGCAACAUGA
This 250-nucleotide unclassified non-coding RNA is filed under the name plant metagenome. RNAcentral's name for it is "partial contains small subunit ribosomal RNA, internal transcribed spacer 1, and 5.8S ribosomal RNA". The record is from RNAcentral.